Non-coding RNA from Aplosporella prunicola CBS 121167, 122 nucleotides. NCBI's taxonomy places the organism in Eukaryota, Fungi, Ascomycota, Dothideomycetes, Botryosphaeriales, Aplosporellaceae. The record is from the annotation of a RefSeq genome assembly.
GGCGCAGUGCCAGAGUGGUUAAUGGGUGUGACUCGAAUCGUGUCGCAGCUCAUUUGCAGCAGCUUCACUAUCUCCGAUAUCACAUGGCUUCGGCCGCGCAAGUUCGAAUCUUGUCUGCGUCG